GUGAGGUCGCUGGUGGUGCGGGCGCUGAUC
This 30-nucleotide non-coding RNA is filed under the name Actinoplanes sp. SE50/110. Lineage: Bacteria; Bacillati; Actinomycetota; Actinomycetes; Micromonosporales; Micromonosporaceae. The record is from RNAcentral.